CAUCUACAAACAUAGGACACAAGCCUUACCCUAGUGGGAUCAAAGUCAUCCAACCCCAUUUUCUAAGCCCCCGACACAAUCACGUUACCCCUUACCCUCAUUUUUCCUGAAUUUGGAAGUCUCGCCACAAACUAGAAAACAUAACAUUGCGCCAAUAGGGUGAACUACCCAGAUAAGCUAAAAUGGAGAAUGUACAUGAAGACACCUUGAGAACAUUGAG
Molecule: long non-coding RNA, 220 nt
Filed under: Vitis vinifera (wine grape)
Lineage: Eukaryota; Viridiplantae; Streptophyta; Magnoliopsida; Vitales; Vitaceae
Description: long non-coding RNA (VVIN_LNC004569)
Source: RNAcentral